CCUACGGGAGGCUGCAGUGAGGAAUAUUGGUCAAUGGCCGGAAGGCUGAACCAGCCAUGCCGCGUGAAGGUCAGUGCCCUAUGGGCGUUAAACUUCUUUUGUGCGGGAGCAAUAAUGGUCACGUGUGGCCAGACGAGAGUACCGUACGAAUAAGCAUCGGCUAACUCCGUGCCAGCAGCCGCGGUAAUACGGGGGAUGCAAGCGUUAUCCGGAUUUAUUGGGUUUAAAGGGUGCGUAGGCUGGGAGGUAAGUCAGCGGUGAAAUGCCCCCGCUCAACGGGGUGAAGUGCCAUUGAUACUGCCUGGCUGGAAUGCGGAUGCGGUGGGAGGAAUGUGUGGUGUAGCGGUGAAAUGCAUAGAUAUCACACAGAACACCGAUUGCGAAGGCAUCUCACGAAUCCGCGAUUGACGCUGAUGCACGAAAGCGUGGGUAUCAAACAGGAUUAGAGACCCUUGUAGUC
This 460-nucleotide ribosomal RNA is filed under the name uncultured bacterium. RNAcentral describes it as "partial 16S ribosomal RNA". It matches the Rfam family "Bacterial small subunit ribosomal RNA", at positions 338 to 795 of the family's 1533-position model. The record is from RNAcentral.